Molecule: ribosomal RNA, 467 nt
Filed under: uncultured bacterium
Lineage: Bacteria
Description: partial 16S ribosomal RNA
Rfam family: Bacterial small subunit ribosomal RNA
Source: RNAcentral
GACGAACGCUGGCGGCGUGCUUAACACAUGCAAGUCGAACGGAAAGGCCUCUUUCGGGGGGUACUCGCGUGGCGAACGGGUGAGUAACACGUGAGUAACCUGCCCUUUACUUUGGGAUAACUUCAGGAAACUGGGGCUAAUACCGGAUAGGAGCUCCUGCUGCAUGGUGGGGGUUGGAAAGUUUCGGCGGUUGGGGAUGGACUCGCGGCUUAUCAGCUUGUUGGUGGGGUAGUGGCUUACCAAGGCUUUGACGGGUAGCCGGCCUGAGAGGGUGACCGGCCACAUUGGGACUGAGAUACGGCCCAGACUCCUACGGGAGGCAGCAGUGGGGAAGAUUGCACAAUGGGUGGAAGCCUGAUGCAGCAACGCCGUGUGCGGGAUGACGGCCUUCGGGUUGUAAACCGCUUUCGCUCAUGACGAAGCUUUGUGUGACGGUAGUGGGUAAAGAAGCACCGGCUAACUACGUG